Molecule: ribosomal RNA, 1719 nt
Filed under: Coryphaena hippurus (common dolphinfish)
Lineage: Eukaryota; Metazoa; Chordata; Actinopteri; Carangiformes; Coryphaenidae
Description: 16S ribosomal RNA
Rfam family: Bacterial large subunit ribosomal RNA
Source: RNAcentral
CAGCUUAAUUAGCUAGCCUACCUAACAACCCAAUCAAAUACUUCUACUAACCCCUAAUACACUAAAAAUAUUCAACUAAACCAUUCAUCUUCCCUAGUAUAGGCGAUAGAAAAGGAAUAAAAGAGCAACAGAUAUCAGUACCGCAAGGGAAAGCUGAAAGAGAGGUGAAAAAGUCCAAUAAAGGUAAGAAAAGCAGAGAUUACCCCUCGUACCUUUUGCAUCAUGAUUUAGCUAGCAACAUUAAGCGAAGAGCACUUUAGUUUAAUACCCCGAAACUAGCGUGAGCUACUCCAAGACAGCCUAUUAUAGGGCAAACCCGUCUCUGUGGCAAAAGAGUGGGAAGAGCUUUGAGUAGAAGUGACAGACCUAUCGAACCUAGUUAUAGCUGGUUGCCUGUGAAAUGAAUAGAAGUUCAGCCUCCCAGCUUCUCUCUUCACCUAUUGUACACACAAAACAAUGAUUUAGAGAAACUGUGAGAGUUAGUCAAAGGAGGAACAGCUCCUUUGAAACAAGAUACAACUUUUUUAAUUGGGUAAAGAUCAUAUUAUUUAAAGUAAAAAAUCUCAGUGGGCCUGAAAGCAGCCACCCAAAAGAAAGCGUUAAAGCUCAGAUACACAAAAAACUAUUUAUUUAGAUAAGCCAAUCUUAACCCCUUAGCCUUUAACAGGCCGUUCCAUACUAUUAUGGAAGUGAUUAUGCUAAAAUGAGUAAUAAGAGAGCUUAAGGCUCUCUCCUGGCACAAGUGUAAACCGGAAAGGACUUCCCGCCGGAAAUUAACGUCCCCAAAAAAAGAGGGAAUUGAGUACUUUAGAAAACUACAAGAAGACUACUCAAAAUUAAACCGUUAACCCUACACGGAGUGCUCUUUUAAGGAAAGACUAAAAGAAGGAGAAGGAACUCGGCAAAACAAGCCUCGCCUGUUUACCAAAAACAUCGCCUCUUGCAAAAAUAAAGAAUAAGAGGUCCCACCUGCCCGGUGACACCAAUUUAACGGCCGCGGUAUCCUGACCGUGCGAAGGUAGCGUAAUCAUUUGUCUUUUAAAUGGGGACUUGUAUGAAUGGUAUAACGAGGGCUUAACUGUCUCCUCCCUCUUGUCAAUGAAAUUGAUCUCCCCGUGCAGAAGCGGGGAUACUCUCAUAAGACGAGAAGACCCUAUGGAGCUUUAGAUACUAAGGUAGACCAUAUUCCAUAACCCCUUGUUAAAGGAGUAAAUCUAUGCUAAUCCUACCCCUAUAUCUUCGGUUGGGGCGACAAUGGGGAAAUAAAAAUCCCCCAUGCGGAACGGGAAAAUUUUAUCUAAGAAAUUAUUCUUACCAUAAAGCUACUUCCCCAAAUUAAGAGUGACAGCUCUAAAUUACAGUAUUUCUGACCAUAAAUGAUCCGGCAUUUGCCGAUUAACGGACCAAGUUACCCUAGGGAUAACAGCGCAAUCCCCUUUUAGAGCCCACAUCAACAAGGGGGUUUACGACCUCGAUGUUGGAUCAGGACAUCCUAUUGGUGCAGCCGCUAUUAAGGGUUCGUUUGUUCAACGAUUAAAGUCCUACGUGAUCUGAGUUCAGACCGGAGUAAUCCAGGUCAGUUUCUAUCUAUGUAGUAUUCUUUUCUAGUACGAAAGGACCGAAAAGAAGAGGCCUAUACUUCAAGUACGCCUUAUCCCAAUCUAAUGAAAACAUCUAAAUUAGGUAAAAGGACACAAAACUUCAGCCUUAGAGAAAGGU